AGGCUACCGCUAUUGGAGUUCGAUUAAGCCAUGCGAGUCGCGAGUCUUAGGGACUCGGCGUACCGCUCAGUAACACGUGGGUAACCUGCCCUAUGCUGGGGGAUAACCUCGGGAAACUGAGAAUAAUACCCCAUAGUUCACCACGCCUGGAACGGUGGGUGGAUGAAAGCUCCGGCGGCAUAGGAUGGGCCUGCGGCGUAUCAGGUUGUAGGGGGUGUAAUGUACCCUCUAGCCAUCUACGCGUACGGGUGUUGGGAGACAUCGCCCGGAGAUGGAUUCUGAGACACGAAUCCAGACCCUACGGGGUGCAGCAGGCGCGAAAACUUGGCAAUGCGAGAAAUCGUGACCAGGGAACUCCAAGUGCAUCGGGUAAGACCGAUGCUUUUCUUGACUCUUCAAAGGUCUUGGAAUAAGGGGUGGGUAAGGACGGUGCCAGCCGCCGCGGUAAUACCGGCGCCUCAAGUGGUAGUCGCUUUUAUUGGGCCUAAAACGUCCGUAGCCGGUUUGGUACAUUCGUGGGUAAAUCAAGGCGCUCAACGUCUUGAAUUCUGCGAGCACGGCCAGACUUGGGACCGGGUGAGGUGUGGGGUACUCUCAGGGUAGGGGUAAAAUCCUGUCAUCCUGAGAGGACCACCUGUUGCGAAGGCGCCACACUAGAACGGAUCCGACGGUCAGGGACGAAGCCUAGGGGCACGAACCGGAUUAGAUACCCGGGUAGUCCUAGGUGUAAACGCUGUGGACUUGAUGUUGGGAGUGCUCCGAGCACCCUCAGUGUCGAAGCGAAGGUGAUAAGUCCACUGCCUGGGGAGUACGGUCGCAAGGCUGAAACUUAAAGGAAUUGGCGGGGGAGCACUGCAACCUGAGGAUUGUGCGGUUU
This 877-nucleotide ribosomal RNA is filed under the name uncultured euryarchaeote. RNAcentral describes it as "bacterial SSU rRNA". It matches the Rfam family "Archaeal small subunit ribosomal RNA", at positions 21 to 903 of the family's 1478-position model. Lineage: Archaea; Methanobacteriati; Methanobacteriota. The record is from RNAcentral.